Molecule: long non-coding RNA, 350 nt
Filed under: Glycine max (soybean)
Lineage: Eukaryota; Viridiplantae; Streptophyta; Magnoliopsida; Fabales; Fabaceae
Description: long non-coding RNA (GMAX_LNC000485)
Source: RNAcentral
GGCAUUUCCUGGACGGAUUUGACGUAGAAGGAGUGGAGGGAGCCGUCGUUGUCUUCGGCGGCGAAGCCGACCUUGCCGGCCUUGAGGUUGGUGAUGUUGACGUAGCCGGCGGUGCCGGAGGCUGAGCCGGUGGCCUGGAACAUGGAGGAGACGAGGGUGGUGCUGUUGUUGAUCUGGUGGAGCUUUUUGGCGCCGAAGUAGUCGACGAGGACGUGGAGGGAGAGGACGUUUUUGAUGGUGGGGAGGGAGAGGUGCUUGUCGAGGAGGGAGGACAUGGCGGCAUUGUCGAGGGCCAGGACGGUGAUGGUCUGGCGGCGGUUGAUCUCUUCGGCGAGGUGGGUGAGGGAGAG